UGGCUACUUCGGCUCCUCCUGCGUCCCCAGCCUGCCUGCCUGCCGUAGUCAUGUGAGCCAAUUUCUCCAAGUUGAAUUGAGAUAAAAACUGAAGACCCCAAACCAAUCUUGGAUUCUGUGGCUAAGCAGUUGGGGACGACGGUGCCCCCGUGCCCGGGGCAGGCAUCCUGCGCUCUCACAGCCCUGGCCAGUGGCACCGGCAGUGCCCCUCCGGCCACACCCCGGCCAGGUUUUCUAAGGCUGGACAAACACAGGGGCCCCCACUGGUGGGUGCGGCAGACUGACUGGGGUCAGAGGUAUGGGGAGAACACGCGGAGAUCCACCCAAGAAGGGGAGCGAUUGUGCCACAGUCGAGGGGGCCACGGCGAUGGUGUGGUCACACGGCCUCGGUCACCCUCCAGAGGACCCUCCACAUCCUGAACUCUCCAGAAUCUCAGGAGCCUCACCCAGACUCAGAGCGAGGUGCAGGACAGAGCCCUGGACUGGAGCUGGGGGGUCCCUGCCCUACGACCCUGGAGCUCCUGAUCCUGUGCA
RNAcentral lists this long non-coding RNA (534 nucleotides) under Homo sapiens (human). RNAcentral's name for it is "HSALNT0050003". The record is from RNAcentral. Lineage: Eukaryota; Metazoa; Chordata; Mammalia; Primates; Hominidae.